Molecule: ribosomal RNA, 253 nt
Filed under: uncultured bacterium
Lineage: Bacteria
Description: partial 16S ribosomal RNA
Rfam family: Bacterial small subunit ribosomal RNA
Source: RNAcentral
GACGGAGGUUGCAAGCGUUAUCCGGAAUGAUUGGGCGUAAAGCGUUCGCAGGUGGCUAUUCAAGUCUGCUGUCAAAGAACGGGGCUUAACCCCAGAGAGGCAGUGGAAACUGAAUGGCUGGAGUGCAGAUGGGGUAGAGGGAAUUCCCAGUGUAGCGGUGAAAUGCGUAGAGAUUGGGAAGAACACCGGUGGCGAAAGCGCUCUGCUGGACUGCAACUGACCCUGAGGGACGAAAGCUAGGGGAGCGAAAGGG